This 274-nucleotide unclassified non-coding RNA is filed under the name Hevea brasiliensis (rubber tree). The record is from RNAcentral. Lineage: Eukaryota; Viridiplantae; Streptophyta; Magnoliopsida; Malpighiales; Euphorbiaceae.
GAAGUGCUGAUGGGAUCGGACGGCUUUCAGCCGCUGCUGACCCGCGCGAUCGCGGCUGCCACGAAGCGCUCGAAGGAACUGGCGAAGUAGAGCAAGUUCGUUCAACACAUGAUGCCUGUCAUUGCCNNNGGCCAUCCAUCUUCCUUUUUCAAAUUUAUUCGAAGAUGAUGGAUCACCGGGUCAAGCCCGGUGAUGACGAUUGUGGGUGUUGCAACAGCGUGCGCCACCUCGACUUUCCGAUUCAGUUUUCAAACAGCAUGCGCGUGUGGGGCUU